UUGCCCUGUCAAUUGAUUUGUCCUUUCAUUCAUUUCUUAUGUAAUAAGUACCGAAACAACUUCGGAUUAUGAUUAGUUGAUUACACUGAGUGUAUGCUGACUCAGUUUCUCGUCUUUGCUUCCAAACUCUAACAUAACAUCCUUAAUUUCUUCAAACUCAAUUCCUAGUACCACUCCACCAUACGAGGAUGUCGCAGCUUUCCAUUCAACGAG
This 213-nucleotide long non-coding RNA is filed under the name Trifolium pratense (red clover). RNAcentral describes it as "long non-coding RNA (TPRA_LNC009808)". The record is from RNAcentral. Lineage: Eukaryota; Viridiplantae; Streptophyta; Magnoliopsida; Fabales; Fabaceae.